UACAGGGGGGGCAAGCGUUAUUCGGAAUUACUGGGCUUAAAGGGUUUGUAGGCGGCCUUGUAAGUCAGGUGUGAAAUCCCUCGGCUCAACCGAGGAAUAGCGCUUGAUACUGCAUGGCUUGAGGGAGACAGGGGUAAGCGGAACUGAUGGUGGAGUGGUGAAAUGCGUUGAUAUCAUCAGGAACACCGGUGGCGAAAGCGGCUUACUGGGUCUCUUCUGACGCUGAGGAACGAAAGCUAGGGGAGCGAACGGG
RNAcentral lists this ribosomal RNA (253 nucleotides) under uncultured bacterium. RNAcentral describes it as "partial 16S ribosomal RNA". It matches the Rfam family "Bacterial small subunit ribosomal RNA", at positions 524 to 776 of the family's 1533-position model. The record is from RNAcentral.